This is a non-coding RNA of Drosophila suzukii, 949 nucleotides long. The record is from RefSeq and is a predicted model, not a curated record. Lineage: Eukaryota; Metazoa; Arthropoda; Insecta; Diptera; Drosophilidae.
UCAAGGUUGUCUGAUCCCAAGUCUCGAAGCCACUGACUCCAGCAUUUCACAAGUUUAGGUAACCUUUACACAAAUGGAGAUAGACGGCAAUUUUUUUUUGCUUUUAGAGAAUAAAAAACAACUUCGCGAAGACGCAACAACAAGAUACAGCGCAAACAUUCUUAAUUAAUUAAUGUGUCAGCAAUUUGUGAGGCCAGAGAAACGAGUGGGCGGACUGGGGAUUAAAACCUAUUGGCAUUUCUCACUAGAACUGAAACUGGAAACGAAUCCUCAAUCGUAACUGCAGUUGCAAAGUUUACUAUUAUUUGCUUUUAUUCCGAUCGAGGAAUGUGAAUUUAUUGUUCAAAGGUCAGCUUUAUGGCUGGUGUCGUUUAAGUAACGAAAUUUCCAUAAUGAGCUUUAUUCAACGAAAUGUGAUCUUUAGAACUGAAAGAAUUUAACACUGCGAUAGGUAAACAAAGUUUACCUGAUAAAAAAACAUGAUAAAACACUUUCAAUCAAAAACAGGGUAAUCGGAUUUUAAAUGCCAGUUCCACAACAAAAAUGGUUCACUUUUUACCCCUCAAUAAUGCAGUUACUUUCCUGGAAUAAAAUGGAAUUCAAGCACAUUUCUAAAUAAUAAAACAUCACAAAUUCUCGGAAAAAGAGGCGCGCGCCGUUUAGUAUUAGCUUGAUUCCAGUUAACACGUCAGUUUUAUUUGAUUGGCUUUAACAGGGUUCCAGUCUUAACCGCAAAACAGGUCACCAGAAUAUGACGUUGAUUUGACGUAAGCACCUGGGAACUGCGAUCAAACAUGAGUAAGAUCCCCCCGGAGACCUGUUUGGGCUUUAAUGGGUCUGCUGGGAUAAACCCAAUUUCAUUGAUGUUCUGGCUUGGGCGAAUGCGCUCUUAAUUAUUUAUAAACAAAUCGGAAUUUUGUAAUCGAACAGCACAAGAUUAUUUAUAGGC